This 250-nucleotide ribosomal RNA is filed under the name uncultured bacterium. RNAcentral describes it as "partial 16S ribosomal RNA". It matches the Rfam family "Bacterial small subunit ribosomal RNA", at positions 524 to 776 of the family's 1533-position model. The record is from RNAcentral.
UACGAAGGGGCUAGCGUUGUUCGGAUUUACUGGGCGUAAAGCGCACGUAGGCGGAUCGUUAAGUCGGGGUGAAAUCCUGGAGCUCAACUCCAGAACUGCCUUCGAUACUGGCGAUCUUGAGUCCGGAAGAGGUGAGUGGAACUCCUAGUGUAGAGGUGGAAUUCGUAGAUAUUAGGAAGAACACCAGUGGCGAAGGCGGCUCACUGGUCCGGUACUGACGCUGAGGUGCGAAAGCGUGGGAGCGAACAGG